This 586-nucleotide ribosomal RNA is filed under the name uncultured rumen bacterium 636cARRO. Its description in RNAcentral is "partial 16S ribosomal RNA". It matches the Rfam family "Bacterial small subunit ribosomal RNA", at positions 320 to 900 of the family's 1533-position model. The record is from RNAcentral. Lineage: Bacteria; Pseudomonadati; Bacteroidota.
UGAAAANCGUCCAAAUUCUANGGGGGCNCANNGGGAAUAUGCACAAUGGNNCCAACCNGANGCAACCAAUGCNGNGUGUNAUGAAGGAGNCCUUNGGGGUUUNAAGUAAUUUUAAGCGGGGAGGAAGGGAGUAAAGUUAAUACCUUUNGUUCAUUGACGUUACCCGCAGAAGAAGCACCGGCUAANUCNGUGCCAGCAGCCGCGGUAAUACGGAGGGUGCAAGCGUUAAUCGGAAUUACUGGGCGUAAAGCGCACGCAGGCGGUUUGUUAAGUCAGAUGUGAAAUCCCCGGGCUCAACCUGGGAACUGCAUCUGAUACUGGCAAGCUUGAGUCUNGUAGAGGGGGGUAGAAUUCCAGGUGUAGCGGUGAAAUGCGUAGAGAUCUGGAGGAAUACCGGUGGCGAAGGCGGCCCCCUGGACGAAGACUGACGAUCAGGUGCGNAAGCGUGGGGAGCAUACAGGAUUAGAUACCAUNGUAGUCCACNCCGUAAACGAUGUCGACUUNGAGGUUGUGCCCUUGAGGCGUGGCUUCCGGAGCUAACNCGUUAAGUNGACCACCUGGGGAGUACGCCCGCAACGUNNAAGGC